Molecule: non-coding RNA, 82 nt
Filed under: Halalkalibacter wakoensis
Lineage: Bacteria; Bacillati; Bacillota; Bacilli; Caryophanales; Bacillaceae
Description: Bacillus wakoensis c-di-GMP sequence
Rfam family: c-di-GMP-I riboswitch aptamer
About the family: GEMM was predicted in a large-scale screen for bacterial structured RNA regulatory elements. Genes associated with GEMM are involved in a diverse array of functions, including chemotaxis regulation, signal transduction, secretion and chitin.
Source: RNAcentral
AAUAGAAAAUGGCAAAACUUUCGAAAGGAAGUGACGCAAAGCUACGGGCCUAACUCUCUGACACGGUCGCCGGGUUGCCAAU